GCUAGAGAAGAUUAGUGGCGGACGGGUGAGUAACAUUUAGGAAUCUGCCUAGUAGUGGGGGAUAGCUCGGGGAAACUCGAAUUAAUACCGCAUACGACCUACGGGUGAAAGGGGGCGCAAGCUCUUGCUAUUAGAUGAGCCUAAAUCAGAUUAGCUAGUUGGUGGGGUAAAGGCCCACCAAGGCGACGAUCUGUAACUGGUCUGAGAGGAUGAUCAGUCACACCGGAACUGAGACACGGUCCGGACUCCUACGGGAGGCAGCAGUGGGGAAUAUUGGACAAUGGGGGCAACCCUGAUCCAGCCAUGCCGCGUGUGUGAAGAAGGCCUUUUGGUUGUAAAGCACUUUAAGCAGGGAGGAGAGGCUAAUGGUUAAUACCCAUUAGAUUAGACGUUACCUGCAGAAUAAGCACCGGCUAACUCUGUGCCAGCAGCCGCGGUAAUACAGAGGGUGCGAGCGUUAAUCGGAAUUACUGGGCGUAAAGCGAGUGUAGGUGGCUCAUUAAGUCACAUGUGAAAUCCCCGGGCUUAACCUGGGAACUGCAUGUGAUACUGGUGGUGCUAGAAUAUGUGAGAGGGAAGUAGAAUUCCAGGUGUAGCGGUGAAAUGCGUAGAGAUCUGGAGGAAUACCGAUGGCGAAGGCAGCUUCCUGGCAUAAUAUUGACACUGAGAUUCGAAAGCGUGGGUAGCAAACAGGAUUAGAUACCCUGGUAGUCCACGCCGUAAACGAUGUCUACUAGCCGUUGGGGUCCUUGAGACUUUAGUGGCGCAGUUAA
RNAcentral lists this ribosomal RNA (773 nucleotides) under Salmonella enterica subsp. enterica. Its description in RNAcentral is "bacterial SSU rRNA". It matches the Rfam family "Bacterial small subunit ribosomal RNA", at positions 81 to 855 of the family's 1533-position model. The record is from RNAcentral. Lineage: Bacteria; Pseudomonadati; Pseudomonadota; Gammaproteobacteria; Enterobacterales; Enterobacteriaceae.